UACGUAGGGUGCGAGCGUUAAUCGGAAUUACUGGGCGUAAAGCGUGCGCAGGCGGUUAUAUAAGACAGAUGUGAAAUCCCCGGGCUUAACCUGGGAACUGCGUUUGUGACUGUAUAACUCGAGUGUGGCAGAGGGGGGUGGAAUUCCACGUGUAGCGGUGAAAUGCGUAAAUAUCUGGAGGAACACCGGUGGCGAAGGCGGCCUUCUGGCCCGGAACUGACGCUCAGGCACGAAAGCUAGGGGAGCGAACGGGAUUAGAAACCCGGGUAGU
This 271-nucleotide ribosomal RNA is filed under the name uncultured bacterium. Its description in RNAcentral is "partial 16S ribosomal RNA". It matches the Rfam family "Bacterial small subunit ribosomal RNA", at positions 524 to 794 of the family's 1533-position model. The record is from RNAcentral.